AUACACAUUUGUUUCAGAAAUUUGGCCAUGUUGAGAUAAUUCAGAAGUUAUCUCUUUGAUCUUCUGUUUGGUUGGAGUUCCAUUGCCUUGUUCAAAUAUGCGCUCAAGAAUCUGAAGUUGCAUAGGUGUUGGAGUCCAGCGUUGUCUACCAGUGAUUUUAUGACCAGCAGAUGUCACCAGUGGAUCGCAGUACAGAUUUCCCAGCCUGGCUCCAGCAAGAUCGUGUUGUGAAGCCAUGGAUUUAUGCAAAUCAACAAGCUGUUCACAAAUAGUAGCAUAAACAGCGAUUUGCUUCCUUAAAACUUCCAUUUGCUCAUCCGUCAUCACUUUCACAAACAUCCCACCACUGACUGUUCCGUUCAAUUCCUCCGCCGUCUGCUGCGGCGCCGACACCGGUGGCUGCUGCUGCUGUUUUUCCCAAUCCAUAAUUUUCCUCUUUGUUUUAGUCAAUUCCUUAAAAGGGUCAUCACAAAAUUGUAUCUUUGAAGUAAACAGAGAGAGUGAGUAAAAAAAGGGUA
Molecule: unclassified non-coding RNA, 518 nt
Filed under: Hevea brasiliensis (rubber tree)
Lineage: Eukaryota; Viridiplantae; Streptophyta; Magnoliopsida; Malpighiales; Euphorbiaceae
Source: RNAcentral